Molecule: transfer RNA, 85 nt
Filed under: Felis catus (domestic cat)
Lineage: Eukaryota; Metazoa; Chordata; Mammalia; Carnivora; Felidae
Rfam family: tRNA
About the family: Transfer RNA (tRNA) molecules are approximately 80 nucleotides in length. Their secondary structure includes four short double-helical elements and three loops (D, anti-codon, and T loops).
Source: Rfam by way of RNAcentral
GCCUGGAUGGCUCAGUCGGUUGAGCAUCCGACUUCAGCUCAGGUCAUGAACUCACGGUUUGUGAGUUCGAGCCCCACAUCGGGCU